This is a small nucleolar RNA of Gorilla gorilla gorilla (western lowland gorilla), 210 nucleotides long. Its record names the gene U3. It matches the Rfam family "Small nucleolar RNA U3". From Rfam's summary of the family: Small nucleolar RNAs (snoRNAs) are involved in the processing and modification of rRNA in the nucleolus. There are two main classes of snoRNAs: the box C/D class, and the box H/ACA class. NCBI's taxonomy places the organism in Eukaryota, Metazoa, Chordata, Mammalia, Primates, Hominidae. The record is from Ensembl.
AAGACUAUACUUUCAGGGAUCAUUUCUAUAGUUCAUUACUAAAGAAGUUUAUCUGAACAUGUAGAACACAUGACACCACAAGGAGGAGGCACAACAUUCUCCCUAGAGCCUGAAGCUGGCUCUUGGUGUUGCAUGACUACAGCAGCCAUUUGUCACUGAUGACUGUUCUCUUCCAGGAGAAUAAGAAGGAGAAGAUGCAGUUUGGGUUGU